CAGUAGUCAAAUGCCCCUGAAUUCAAUCCCCAAUACCCAAAACAAAACAAGAGUGGGCAUGAGGUGGAGAUUUAAAGCUGGAAGGAAAAGCUGAAAAAUAAGGGUCAUUCAUUUUUUAAGCACUAUCCAGUGCCGUCCCCACCAAAUCCUUCUGCGACUAGUUUCAGAAUCCAAGGGAGAUCUGGCAGCCAGGGGCUGUUCUCUAUCAGUGACUCUGAGUGUAAAGAGAGGCAGGAGGAGAAGCAAGGAAAGAAUAAGUGGAGGGAAGGGCUAUGCCCAGAGGGCCUAAGAAAACUUAGAGGUGAACACACACUUUUAUAUUAAAGUCGUUAGCAUCCAGCGUUCUGUAAACCAUAUUUCAGCACAUUACCAUCACGUCUUCCCUGAUGAUCUGGCUUUCUGUUUUUACAGGUGUUUGAUGGGAGUGGAUCGUUUUUGUCCUACAUUAACACAUCUGCUGACCCACUCUACGGCCCCCAAGGCCUAGCCCUAACUUCAGACGGCCAUGUUGUGGUUGCAGACUCUGGAAAUCACUGUUUCAAGGUCUAUCGAUACCUACAGUAACGGUGGCCAGCCAGAUGUCCCCUCAAGACGGUCUUGCACUAUAAACUGGAAUGGAUUUCUCCACCCGGGACCAGAUUAUGACUAGACUUUUCAUGCUAGAAGGAAUCUUUGAUGAACUUUCCAUGGUUAUUUCUGAAUGUAACAGUUUCCUUAAAAAACUGCUCAUCCAAUUUCUAGAAUUCACCAUUAGGGUUUAAAAAAAAAAAGUCUUCUACUGAAUAUACAAACUGCGAAGUUUUACACCUGUGAACUAUGGCUUAUAGGACAGGGAUUUAUGUAGUUAAAUUAAUUUUGCAAAUCAAACAAACAUUAAACAAAAACUAGCAUAUGUAAAAAUAUUUGUUAAUCCUGUGAAUGAUAGCCUUUGAGCAGAGCUUCCAAAAACAAAUUCUGUCGUCCUUAUAUACUUUAUUUAACCCAGGUCAAAAGGCCUGCGGAACCUUCUAACCUCACUUUUACAGUAUGUUUUUUAUUUCUUUCUUUCCUUCUUUGGGGGGGUGGGGGAGCUGGUAAUCGACAACUACAUAUUACUUACUUCAAAAAAAAAAAAAAAAUUGAGGCUGUCUUGCAAAAUCCUCCCAGCUCUGAUUUGCAGACAACACUUGAGAGUCAAUGCAGAUUUCCCAGCCUUUCUGGGUUAGAUCAAAGAUCCUUUCUGUCUGUUCUUCUUACCUUCUCUUUCCUACUCACCUGGUAUCAGAAAACAAAGUACAUUUUCUGAGAAACCUGAAAAUCUCUGAUGCUUUGAAAAAUCAUCUUACAGAAGUAAUACUACCUUUCAGUCAACGAAUAGCCCCAUUAACUCCAGAUGAAUAUACUGGAACGUAAUCAAGAAAAGGUCACGUUUUAUCUGUGCCAUGUUUUCACAUGUGUCUUUCUUUCCUCUUCCACUUCAUGAAAGCAAGAGCUUUACCUUCUGCAAAAUGUCAGCACAUGUAGUAGGACACCAGUAUCCUAGGACAGAGAGCCAUAAGCAGCCCUUUGGAGGACCGAUGGUGUCAACCAAAGGCAUGUGGAUUGAUUAAUGAUUUCCCCUUAGCGAGUGUUACCAAAGUUCUGUUAUCUCGAGAGCAUUACAGGUAAGAGCAUGUUAUGGUUAUUUAUCAUUGUUCAAUGAAUAGUAGAGGUAUCAAGGGACUAUGUAUACAUGAUUAGGGUAAGAUAGAAUGUAUAAUAUAAAUAUAUAUAUAGCUUUGGUGUAUUGAAAUAGGCAGCACUCUGAAAGACAGAAGCAUUCUGUCCAGCCAUUCUUCAGCACAUUCCUUUACUAAUGCAGCUUAAGCCGUCCUUGUGGAGCAAGCCCUAACACAGGUUUGAUGUUUGCCAUUUCCCGGGAAUGAUGGUGGUGGCUGAUCAUCUUGUGUUUUCAAAAGAGCAGAAAAAUAAGAAAAACAGGUCAAAAUAAAAGUUGAACUGGACUUACAUCUGAACUAAGUAUAAAUGCAUUUUGAGAAAUGUUAAGAACAAUUUAGUCAAUCUUGUCACUGAUACUGUAAAAUAAGAUGCAGUCUGUUUCCACUGUUUAAUUUUCUACUCAGUUCUACCAAACAGGAUGUCAUGUUUGAUGUUUUCAAUAAUGACUUUGGGAUCUUUUUCAUUAAAAGCACCUUAGAACUUGUACUAUAAGAAAACAUUUCCUGUAUGUAUUAUUAUAUGAAUGUGAUGCUUAUUGCUUAUUAAUUUAAAAUUCAGCCAUCGUCUAUAUAGGACUUUUUAAAAUUUGGAAGGGAAUCUAGCAACUUCCAGUUGCCCAUUAAAUUUAUUAUGCCCAGAUCAGCUCUGAAAAAAAAAAAAAAAAGCUUUUUCAGAAAGAGAAACAUUAAGGUUUAGUAUUUUUUAAUUUUUUUUUAAUUUUUUAGUUUUUGAAUUAUCAAGUCUAUGUGAUGAAGUUAUAAAAUCCAAUAAAAUUUUUAGAAUGUUAAACUAAGACAUUGUUUGUUUCCUAAUGCCAGUGAAAUAAGUCUUUGAUUUUUUUUUUAAAUUUUUUUCUUGGUGCUGGAAAUUGCAAAUGUAAGCGCCAGUUCUACCACUGAGCUGCACCUGCAGCCCAAGUCUUUGAAUUGAAAUGUUCCUAUUUACAGAGUCCCUUCUAGGUUCUAGGCACUCUUCUAGGCACUGGGAAUAGACUAAUAGAUAAAACAAACAAAAACAUCCCUGUCCCCUCAGAGUUUACAUCCUGGGGAAAGGAAUUUCAUUUUGCCAUUUACUAUAAAAUGUUCUGCCUAAAAGGGAGGCUAGACUCUUAAUAGUUCCUGGACUAUUUAAAAGAAAACCUUUUAAAUUGGUUGUUAAUUUUAGUUUAUUUUCAUAAAAGUAUUUUCAUAAGUGUAAAUGGCUUCCUAUUUAAAUUCUAUCACAGACUGUUGGGGUUUUUUGUUUGUUUGUUUGUUUCUCUGGCUUUGCAGUGCUGGGGACUGAACCAGGGCCUUGACAUACUAGGUAAAUGCUCUACCAUUGAGCUACAUCCCCAGCCCUAGACUAUUGAUUUUAAAACUAGUUUACCUACAGAGGGUUUUUUUUUUUUUCUUUUUCUUUUUUUUGAAGUAUUUGUGAACUUAGAAAUGAAUUUAAAAAUUAAUCAGCCGCCAUCAUAUCAUAUCAGGCCAAGUAUCUAAAUACAUAGUUAAUUUAUUUCCAUGUCAAUUUUGGCACAAACUGGAAUGGAAUAUAGAUAGUUUGAUUUGGACCUGUUCCACUGUCUCUUAACUAAACCUAUACUAUGGGCACUCCAGGAAACACUAUAUUUUUCCCCCAAAAUAUGUAAUCAUAUAUAUUAAAAUAUAGAUAACAUUUCAUACCUGGAUACAUAUGUGCAUUUACUGUAUUUCUGGUGAGCAUAUUUGGGGGAGAAAGUGCUGCUGAUAAGAUACAAAUAGAUAAGAUUUAAAUGAAAUUUUGUCACAUUCUAUGGAAAAUGGUUUCUGGUAAACUGAGAAGGAUAUUAAAAUAAGUGGCUUUUAUUCUGGGCUACCAUUAUUAUUUGGUUUCGCUUUGUCAAGUGUAUAGAACCUGUCAUACAUUCAUGAUAAGUAGCACUGAGAAAGUACUCACUCAAAAUUCCCCUGGGCACUUAUGGCAUAGUAUUGCCAAUUAGGAUUUGAAGGUCAGUGACGAUGCAUUUUCCCCCAAUACAGACCUCCCCUGCUGGACAUGGGGAUGGAGGGAGUUACUUGACCAUCCUGAAACACAUAAAUAAAAAGCCUUUAUGACUGUGUUUGCCAUUUUUUUAAUGGCAUAUAGUAUUUUGGUGAAGUUUUAGACCCCAUAAUUAAACAAGUCUCCAGGUUUCCUUAUGACUAGAUUUGAGGCCAAUUAAUACCCCAGAUCCAUGCAACUAUUGCACACUUGCUUCCACUACUAAAUAUACAGGGUAUCCUAGAAUGGAAUUAACUGGAAUAAUAGUACCUUACUUAGUAUCUAUGGAUCCUCAUACUGAAGGGUCAACAUAAAUGCUUAGGUAAUACCUACUGAAUAAAUUGGAGGAAACAGCAAGUCAACAGCAAAUAAUCUGCAGAUCACUUCAAAUGGGAAAAAUCUUUUUGUACAUUUGGAUACUAUGACAUCCUCUCUAUUCACCAGCUUCUGAAAAGGGAGGAGUGUUUUUAGUUGAAUAAUUUUAAAACAAGGCAUUUCCAGGCAGGAUAAAAUUGAAGCUAUUUGAUGCAGACCUUAUCUAAUUUUGCUUUAACCGGAAGUCGUAUAAUACUGUUGCUUUCUGUAAAUGUUGCAGGGUUUUAAACUUUACAAUUAUUUUUAAUAUUUUUGAUAUCUAGGAAUCUAGCGUUGCCAUAAAGGAAACUAAGUGCCCAUUAAAGAUUUAUUUGGUAUAAAUACUUUUUUGUUUUGUUUUAAAUGACAGUAAGCUACAAAUCAUGAUGCUAAUCUUAAAAACUUUCUAAAGAUGAAUUGUGUGGCAGUGAUUGUGUGAUCUGUUUGUGGAGAAUGUAUGAAAAGCUAUUAAUAUUCUAGAAUAGGUUAAUAAAUUGGCUAUGUUGUUCCAAUGAAUGUACAGCACUUCCAUUAACUUUUGAAAGCAACACAGCCUUAAACUCAACUCAAUGCUUUUGCUUUAUGACAUGGGGAAUGUUCUGUCAUCAAGAGUGUUUUUGGUUUUUUUUGCAGUGCUGGGGAUCAAACCCAGGGCCUCGCGCAUGGUAGUCAAGCGCUCUACCACUGAGCUACUCCCCAGCACAACAGUGUAUUCUCGUAACAGAAUUCUUUUGUAUCAUUCUCAUCUCUAUAGCCUUUCCAUCCAAGGUAUGAGUAUGAAGGUUUUUUGCUUCCUUUGUUUUCUUUUUAGAUUUUGUACAUUCCAUCUUUAUAGGUCCGUUUCAUAUGUUUUGUGUAUAGAACACUAAGUCUUGCGCUCUCUGACAUUGAUACUGAUAUAUUCUUAUCAUUUGUUACUUUAUGAAUCAAAAUGCUGACUGCCUAUUUAAAGAAUGAACGCUGUGCAUCAAAGUGUUUGUAUGUUCGUAGCUACAUACGUACCACAGUAUUUUGGAUGCUUUAGUCUACAAUAAAACUUUAAAUUAAUUCUGUCUUGAAACAUAGGAGAAACAAGACUCGUGUAUAUCUUUACCAUGCACAAAAAAUCUCAAAUCAUUAUAAUAAAGCUUGUUUUCUCCAUUUCUAGAGUGAAUGUUUAUUUAUUUAACAAAUUAUUUCCCUGAGAGAAGGGGACUAAAGGA
This 5255-nucleotide long non-coding RNA is filed under the name Marmota monax (woodchuck). The record is from RNAcentral. Lineage: Eukaryota; Metazoa; Chordata; Mammalia; Rodentia; Sciuridae.